GACGAACGCUGGCGGCGUGCUUAACACAUGCAAGUCGAACGGAAAGGCCCUGCUUUUGUGGGGUGCUCGAGUGGCGAACGGGUGAGUAACACGUGAGUAACCUGCCCUUGACUUUGGGAUAACUUCAGGAAACUGGGGCUAAUACCGGAUAGGAGCUCCUGCUGCAUGGUGGGGGUUGGAAAGUUUCGGCGGUUGGGGAUGGACUCGCGGCUUAUCAGCUUGUUGGUGGGGUAGUGGCUUACCAAGGCGUUGACGGGUAGCCGGCCUGAGAGGGUGACCGGCCACAUUGGGACUGAGAUACGGCCCAGACUCCUACGGGAGGCAGCAGUGGGGAAUAUUGCACAAUGGGCGGAAGCCUGAUGCAGCAACGCCGCGUGCGGGAUGACGGCCUUCGGGUUGUAAACCGCUUUCGCCUGUGACGAAGCGUGAGUGACGGUACUGGGUAAAGAAGCACCGGCUAACUACGUG
RNAcentral lists this ribosomal RNA (468 nucleotides) under uncultured bacterium. RNAcentral's name for it is "partial 16S ribosomal RNA". It matches the Rfam family "Bacterial small subunit ribosomal RNA", at positions 28 to 507 of the family's 1533-position model. The record is from RNAcentral.